This 376-nucleotide ribosomal RNA is filed under the name uncultured organism. RNAcentral's name for it is "partial 16S ribosomal RNA". It matches the Rfam family "Bacterial small subunit ribosomal RNA", at positions 527 to 897 of the family's 1533-position model. The record is from RNAcentral.
GUAGGUGGCAAGAGUUGUCCGGGAAUUAUUGGGGCGUAAAGCGCGCGCAGGCGGUUCUUUAAGUCUGAUGUGAAAGCCCACGGGCUCAACCGUGGAGGGUCAUUGGAAACUGGAGAACUUGAGUACAGAAGAGGAAAGCGGAAUUCCACGUGUAGCGGUGAAAUGCGUAGAGAUGUGGAGGAACACCAGUGGCGAAGGCGGCUUUCUGGUCUGUAACUGACGCUGAGGCGCGAAAGCGUGGGGAGCAAACAGGAUUAGAUACCCUGGUAGUCCACGCCGUAAACGAUGAGUGCUAAGUGUUAGGGGGUUUCCGCCCCUUAGUGCUGCAGCUAACGCAUUAAGCACUCCGCCUGGGGAGUACGGCCGCAAAGGCUGA